AGAGUUUGAUUCUGGCUCAGGAUGAACGCUAGCUACAGGCUUAACACAUGCAAGUCGAGGGGCAGCAUGAAGUUUGCUUGCAAACUUGAUGGCGACCGGCGCACGGGUGAGUAACGCGUAUCCAACCUUCCCUAUAGUAGAGGAUAGCCCGGCGAAAGUCGGAUUAAUACUCUAUGUUUUCCAAUGCAGACAUCUAAAAUGGAACAAAGGUUUACCGCUAUAGGAUGGGGAUGCGUCUGAUUAGGUAGUCGGCGGGGUAACGGCCCACCGAGCCCUCGAUCAGUAGGGGUUCUGAGAGGAAGGUCCCCCACAUUGGAACUGAGACACGGUCCAAACUCCUACGGGAGGCAGCAGUGAGGAAUAUUGGUCAAUGGGCGAGAGCCUGAACCAGCCAAGUAGCCGUGCAGGAUGACGGCCCUAUGGGUUGUAAACUGCUUUUAUGCGGGGAUAAAGUGGGGAACGUGUUCCCUUUUGUAGGUACCGCAUGAAUAAGGACCGGCUAAUUCCGUGCCAGCAGCCGC
This 521-nucleotide ribosomal RNA is filed under the name uncultured bacterium. RNAcentral's name for it is "bacterial SSU rRNA". It matches the Rfam family "Bacterial small subunit ribosomal RNA", at positions 8 to 518 of the family's 1533-position model. The record is from RNAcentral.